AAACCAAUAAUAUAUAUUAAAUGACCAAUUUAAAAAGCUAAAAUGCUAAAACAAGAAAAAGUGUGAGAGAAAUUAAUACUACCAUAUGACAUACCUGGAUUGGUGCAAUCCUUGA
Populus euphratica (Euphrates poplar) is the source of this 115-nucleotide long non-coding RNA. RefSeq lists it as uncharacterized. NCBI's taxonomy places the organism in Eukaryota, Viridiplantae, Streptophyta, Magnoliopsida, Malpighiales, Salicaceae. The transcript has 3 exons. The record is from RefSeq and is a predicted model, not a curated record.